RNAcentral lists this unclassified non-coding RNA (1190 nucleotides) under Bombus terrestris (buff-tailed bumblebee). RNAcentral's name for it is "misc RNA ENSBTSG00005027969.1". The record is from RNAcentral. Lineage: Eukaryota; Metazoa; Arthropoda; Insecta; Hymenoptera; Apidae.
AUCGUACACGGCACUCUCGUCCGGUGCAAACGCAGCGAUCUCAGAAUUGUGCUCCGAAGAGGAGGUCUUUUUCACAACACGGCUCCCAAUGGCAGUCCCGGUAAACGUUGCCUCUGCUUGUGCCGAUCAAGUGCAUUACAAGAGGACAGGCCAUGCAGUUCUAUUAAUAAAUAUCUAGCUGGUAUUAACACCAUGGCAAGGUGAGCCAAUAUUUAUAUGUCGGAGAUGUAGGGACAUCGGGCCUUUCUUUUGGGAAGAUCCCCAAUACUUGGGUUCGAGGAGACACAACUGGUUGCCACGGUCACAGGAUGAACAUUUUACCUAACAGAAGAAUAGAAGUAUUGAGGGACACGCUGUAUUAACAAACAAGCCCCGGCCAGGAGCAAUGUCGGCUCUACGCGGGUCUGCCUAGUAACGGCGCCCGCAAUUUUAUUGAUUAUCCCUCAUCAAUAUGUAAUUGAGAAAUAUGAUCGUAUCACGUUUUUUUUCUUAUGAUCACCUUGGAGAGUUUACUGAUAUCAUCUUGUGAGUCAAUCAGAAAGUAAAGGAGCGUCUCAACUAACGUCACUUUGUGCUACAAAAUAUAUGCUAUUCUACAAAGAGUGUACCCGUUGACCGUGGAUUCGUUAUUGAACCCAAGAGCAUUGUCAAUAGUUUUCAUUAAACUUGUUAAUUAUUACGCGCCCAAAAUUCUAACGAAAACCUGACAUUUAUAUAAUAGUAUACUCGUAAUUAAACUUCUCAAAUCAAACUACCGUAUUAUUAGAUUAACUGUUUUAAGUAUAAUCAAAAUAAUACUGUUACUAUUUAGCCUAAUGUUGCUGCAUUCUUCUACAAAUUUUUUCAAAUAAUAAACUUAUUUAAUGUUAGGGACUGCAAACCUGGCCUUGUCGGUGAUAACGAAAUUUAUCGUCUUUCACCUUGUCAAGGUAAGAUUAAUAAUAUAAAUAACUAAUUUAUAUUUACAAUCCGCAAAUCCUCCUACUGUUUUUCCGAUUUCAACCAUUACCACUCCUUUAUACCUAGCCAAGGACUACCAUUUUAUUUAGAUAUCACACUUUCUAACUCAGAUUAAUCAUUAAAUUAUUCUAAAUUUGUGGACGAUGUAUAGUAGAAUAUAGAUUAUAGAUUAUUCUUUAUUUAGUUAAUUUUAGUCUUACAUAUGAUUUGUUUCAUUAUUUUAUCUCUUA